CUCAGAUUGAACGCUGGCGGCAGGCCUAACACAUGCAAGUCGAACGGUAACAGGAAGAGCUUGCUUCUUUGCUGACGAGUGGCGGACGGGUGAGUAAUGUCUGGGAAACUGCCUGAUGGAGGGGGAUAACUACUGGAAACGGUAGCUAAUACCGCAUAACGUCGCAAGACCAAAGAGGGGGACCUUCGGGCCUCUUGCCAUCGGAUGUGCCCAGAUGGGAUUAGCUGUGGUGGGGUAACGGCUCACCUAGGCGACGAUCCCUAGCUGGUCUGAGAGGAUGACCAGCCACACUGGAACUGAGACACGGUCCAGACUCCUACGGGAGGCAGCAGUGGGGAAUAUUGCACAAUGGGCGCAAGCCUGAUGCAGCCAUGCCGCGUGUAUGAAGAAGGCCUUCGGGUUGUAAAGUACUUUCAGCGGGGAGGAAGGGAGUAAAGUUAAUACCUUUGCUCAUUGACGUUACCCGCAGAAGAAGCACCGGCUAACUCCGUGCCAGCAGCCGCGGUAAUACGGAGGGUGCAAGCGUUAAUCGGAAUUACUGGGCGUAAAGCGCACGCAGGCGGUUUGUUAAGUCAGAUGUGAAAUCCCCGGGCUCAACCUGGGAACUGCAUCUGAUACUGGCAAGCUUGAGUCUCGUAGAGGGGGGUAGAAUUCCAGGUGUAGCGGUGAAAUGCGUAGAGAUCUGGAGGAAUACCGGUGGCGAAGGCGGCCCCCUGACGAAGACU
This 725-nucleotide ribosomal RNA is filed under the name Escherichia sp. Its description in RNAcentral is "bacterial SSU rRNA". It matches the Rfam family "Bacterial small subunit ribosomal RNA", at positions 23 to 741 of the family's 1533-position model. Lineage: Bacteria; Pseudomonadati; Pseudomonadota; Gammaproteobacteria; Enterobacterales; Enterobacteriaceae. The record is from RNAcentral.